UGUAGUUAAGUGAUUGCAAAGCAAUGCUGCAAUUUAGUCAUUAUUUCAACCUGUUUUUUUCAAUUUGUUGUUAUUAUUUUUAUUGAAUCUAUUCAUAUACAUGUAAAACAGAUAUAUACCCGGUCACAAUUUCGGUCUGAGUUGAAUGUAAUUUCCAAAACGGUGCUGCCAAGAUGUAGACACAAAAUAUACUAAUAUAUUUCGUGUAAUUACAAAAUCCCGCGAUAGUAUAGAUUAUCUCGCGAGAUCUCGCUUUCCGGAAGUUCCCUUCCGGAAGUUCCGGUAUAUUGAGCAGGCAACCACGAGGAGGAGAGGACUCGAAGAGGACUGAGAUGUAUCGAUAUAAAUUAUAUAAAAUCUACUGUUGUAUGCUGUGAAGAGGUGGAGACUCUGAAUGGGAUGCAGCAAUGACAGAACACCUGAAGCUCGCUCCAGGAAGAGAUGGGGGUGGAGGUUACAAGAAAUGAGCCAAACAACUGUAGUUUGUUUUUAAGGGAUAAGCCAUCCAAAAAUGAAAAUAGUCAUAAUUUUCUCACCCUCAUGUUACAAUCAUAAUAAUUUUUCCUACAGUGGCAGUUAAUGGAUUGUGAGAUCUGCUUGGUUACAAUAUUUCAAUAUUUCUUCCAAAUAUAUUUGUGUUUAUAAGACAACUGUGUAAGUCAAUGACAAGAUUAAUAAAGAAUUGAUAAAAAGAAACCAUCUUUUAACAUUCUAGUAGAAAACAUUCUCAGAAAUGUAAUAUUUUAAUUCAUGUCGGUUCUAUACAGUUUAAAAUCAUUUACACCACUUUGAUUUCAUAAAUAGAAAUGAUUUCAAACAUAUUUUAUGAUGAGGGUCUUAUGUUUUAUGAUUUUCUUGUCACAUGACAACAAUGGCUCCUGCAAGGUGUUUAUGCCACAUGUUCAAAUAUUAAUAAUAUUCUUAAUAUUAUAUGAUUAAAGUAUUUUAAAAUAAAUGCAAUUAAUAUUGAUUUAUAAUAUAAUAUAUAAAAAACAUUAAUAAACAAACACUGUGCAAAUAUAAAUUUUUAACAAUAAUAAUGGACUUUAAGAUUGAGUAUUUCAGCACUUUUUAUUCAGUGAUGCCCCUCAUUAAAUCAUAUUUCUGAAGAAAAAAAUGGUAGGCCUGUAAACUUAUUUCAGAAAUCCAAAAUGGAUACAAAGAUAACAUUGAAAAACACAUUUUUAAAUAGAUUAUCAUCUUGAAGAUUAUUAUUUGUCAUUGUCCCAGUAAAGCAAACAUGAAAACAAUAUCGUCAGAACACAGAAAGGUAUACAGGUUUGAAACAUGAGGGUGAGUAAAUGAAAGAAUUUUCCCUUUAUAUAAUUCAGUAUUUUGUAAUUAGUAUUUUAGUUUGGUUAACAGAUGCUAAACUGUUCAAAAACAAAUUAACAAUAAAAUGUGCUCAAUCAGAA
Carassius gibelio (silver crucian carp) is the source of this 1415-nucleotide long non-coding RNA. RefSeq lists it as uncharacterized. The transcript has 2 exons. Lineage: Eukaryota; Metazoa; Chordata; Actinopteri; Cypriniformes; Cyprinidae. The record is from RefSeq and is a predicted model, not a curated record.